UGGUGGAUGUGCGAGCUUCGUCGAAAAUGGAGAAAGGUUGUGGUAAAAAUUCUUCUUCAAUGCUUCUUUAUUUUGAAAUGGGUUUGAAAGGGACAAAAACAACAGCUCUUGAGAUUGACGUGUUUGAUAUCAGAUUAAUUCGUAUUGGAAUCAAAGUUAUACGGGUCUGGUGUCAGAUUUAGUACUACAAUUGCAUUGACUUCUUGUUUUUUGGUCCUGCAUUCCAGACAUACACUUGUUUCCUUAGCAAGAGUUCAAAAGCCAUGUUAUAAUAGUCCUCGAGAGUAAACUGAAGCCUACCUUUUCAUACUAUUGCAAAAUGCACCGGCAAGGAAACAUAACCAUCGAUAUACCCAAAGUCGCCUCCAAAGGACCAAAGCCGAAAGAGGUCUAAGUCGGUGAGGUUUGAGGUUUGAGCUUUUAGGAGUCGAUAAAAAUGAAGAAGAAAUAGGGAAGGAAUUAGUGACAAGGGGACAGUUAUCAAACAUAGUAUACCCUUAAUUCAAAACAUAUCGAAUGCAGUUGCUUAAGCAGAGGCUCCCUAUUCUUUUAUGUGAAGCAUGAUUAAUUUGUAAAUUGUGAUCAAACAUGAUAAGAUCUUUUGUGUCCAUGUGAACAAAUUUUUUUAUUUAAUUGUGACCAGUGAAGUGAGAGCUGAAUUAAAUGUGAUUCAUGAACCAUUAUGUUUUGCAUGAUGAGUUUUGGGCUAUUUUGUUUACAUUGUUCUGGAACAGCUGUGGUUUGGUAUUGGCCUUCCUGAUAUUGAUCAGGGUUUCAACUGGAGACAGACUCCAUUAAUUUGAUGUGAUUGCCUCUAAUUUUACGUGAAUGUGAAUAAAUUUUGGAGGUUACUCAUGAUGGGUGAAAUAUUUGUAUGUGACUGAAGGUUACAAAUAGGUUAAGGGAACACUCUGAGUAGACUUUUGAUGAUUCGUACCUUCACUGGGAGUUCAAGUUAUUUAGAGCUCAGCAAUUUAUUUAAAGUAAGGUAGGAAUCAAUGUUCAGUGUUGUUCAUUCACACAGUUUGUUAUGUUUUCUAAAUAAUUGUGUGAAUUGAAACCAAACAAAGCAAACCAGUAGAAGAAGUCCAAGUGCUGUUCUGUUAACAUUACUGGUUUCAGAAGAUCAAUUGGAUGUUGAAUUACUGCUACAGAGUUCAUGCAACUUACACAGUUACUCAGGUUUUGUGUUUUGGAUUAAAGAAGUACUCAGUUCUACUUA
Stylophora pistillata is the source of this 1222-nucleotide long non-coding RNA. RefSeq lists it as uncharacterized. Lineage: Eukaryota; Metazoa; Cnidaria; Anthozoa; Scleractinia; Pocilloporidae. The record is from RefSeq and is a predicted model, not a curated record.